AGUGAACGCUGGCGGUAGGUCUAACACAUGCAAGUCGAACGGCGGCACAGUAAGAGCUUGCUAUUACGGGUGGCGAGUGGCGUACGGGCGAGGAAUACAGCGGAAUCUACGUUUUAGCGGGGGAUAACGUAGGGAAACUUACGCUAAUACCGCAUACGACCUACGGGUGAAAGCAGGGGACUUUCGGACCUUGCGCGAUUGAAUGAGCCGAUGUCGGUUUAGCUAGUUGGCGGGGUAAAGGCCCACCAAGGCGACGAGCCUAAGCUGGUCUGAGAGGAAGUACAGCCACCUUGGAAGUGAGGAACGGCCGUGACUGCUAAGGUGGGCAACAGUGGGGACUAUUGGGGAAGGGGGGCAAGACUGAUCCAGCCAUACCGCGUGAGUGAAGAAGGCCUUAGGGUUGUAGAGGCCUUUUGUUGGGAAAGAAAAACAGCAGGUUAAUAGCCCGCUGUUUUGACGUUACCCAAAGAAUAAGCAACGGCUAACUUCGUG
RNAcentral lists this ribosomal RNA (492 nucleotides) under uncultured bacterium. Its description in RNAcentral is "partial 16S ribosomal RNA". It matches the Rfam family "Bacterial small subunit ribosomal RNA", at positions 29 to 507 of the family's 1533-position model. The record is from RNAcentral.